Molecule: unclassified non-coding RNA, 848 nt
Filed under: Hevea brasiliensis (rubber tree)
Lineage: Eukaryota; Viridiplantae; Streptophyta; Magnoliopsida; Malpighiales; Euphorbiaceae
Source: RNAcentral
AACCAAUAUCUCAAGUCUCUGGGGGACAAUCAUUAUUAUUCAAAGCAACUAUAUCAGAUAAGAGAAAAUCACUGCAUUGAUCAAACAAAUGGGUAAAGGAAACUUGAUUUAUGCUUGGAAGAAAGUUAGACGAGACUAUGAUGGACACACAUUUGCAAGACCAGGUUGUGACGUUGUCCCCUAAUUAAACUUGUAUACUCCAUAAAGCACUAAAUGAUAAUUAAAGAAGUACAAACCCAAGCAGAGUUCAUCAUUGUCCAUGCCUUGCCCAAAUUGUCCAUGCCAUGUUCAACAUGGCACUAAAUGAUACUAUGCCAUUUUGUGUCACUUUCCUAUGAUGGAUUGCUAUACCUAGCAAGAAUUCAUGUUUCCUUCAUAUCCAGUUUUCUAUUUCCUUGUGGAUUCCAUAUCUCUUCAAAAUUUUAACCAGGCACAAUUCAAACAAAUAUGGGGCUAGUGCUUUUCACGGGUUGGGUUUGCACAAACCCAACCCGACCCCAUUUGGUUAAAUUCACUUCAUAUUACAACCCGAUCCAAAAAUAAACUGGUUUGAAUCGGGUCGGAUCAAACCAUUUUUUUAAAAACAAAUAAGCGAGCCAGCAAGAACAAGAAAAAAGGUUCAUGUCAAGGCCAUUGCCGGACUUCAUUAUAAUCAUAAAAAUGACCUACAAAUAUGUGAUUGUGGCCAUUGGUCCAUGAAGAUUUCUUUUUCUAAUCCAUACAUUAUUUCUCUUUUGAAUUUUAAUAUGAGCCAUUUUUUAUAAUAUCUUUUUAUUUUUUAGGGGAUUAGAUUAGAAAAUUUGAAUAAACACAGAUAAUCAUUAAAAAAUUAUAAUUUAUAAUAAGAA